UUUCGCAAUGCCCGAAAGGGUGACGAAGCGACGCCGCGUGUGGGAAGAAGGCCUUCGGGUUGUAAACCACUGUCGGGAGUUAAGAAAUACAAGGAUAUUAAUAGUGUCUUUGUUUGACUAAGGCUCUGGAGGAAGCCACGGCUAACUCUGUGCCAGCAGCCGCGGUAAUACAGAGGCGGCAAGCGUUGUUCGGAAUUAUUGGGCGUAAAGAGCACGUAGGCGGCUAUGUAAGUCGGUUGUGAAAGCCUUCCGCUCAACGGAAGAACAGCAUCCGAUACUACAUGGCUUGAGUGCGGGAGGGGAGAGUGGAACUUCUGGUGGAGCGGUGAAAUGCGUAGAUAUCAGAAGGAACGCCGGUGGCGAAAGCGGGUUGCUGGAUCUCCACUGACGCUGAGGCGCGAAAGCCAGGGGAGCAAACGGGAUUAGAUGCCCCGGUAGUCCUAGCCGUAAGCGAUGGGCACUAAGUAGAGGGGUUUU
Molecule: ribosomal RNA, 477 nt
Filed under: uncultured Planctomycetales bacterium
Lineage: Bacteria; Pseudomonadati; Planctomycetota; Planctomycetia; Planctomycetales
Description: bacterial SSU rRNA
Rfam family: Bacterial small subunit ribosomal RNA
Source: RNAcentral